GAUGAACGCUGGCGGCGUGCCUAACACAUGCAAGUCGAACGGGGUUAAGGGAAUUUUCGGAUGGAACUUAACUUAGUGGCGGACGGGUGAGUAACGCGUGGAUAACCUGCCUCACACUGGGGGAUAGCAGCUGGAAACGGCUGGUAAUACCGCAUAAGACCACAGCGCCGCAUGGUGCAGGGAUAAAAGAUUUAUCGGUGUGAGAUGGAUCCGCGUCUGAUUAGCCAGUUGGCGGGGUAACGGCCCACCAAAGCGACGAUCAGUAGCCGGCCUGAGAGGGUGAACGGCCACAUUGGGACUGAGACACGGCCCAA
Molecule: ribosomal RNA, 314 nt
Filed under: uncultured bacterium
Lineage: Bacteria
Description: bacterial SSU rRNA
Rfam family: Bacterial small subunit ribosomal RNA
Source: RNAcentral